AUUAAUUCAAAAUUUUAUUUGGGAAGAUAAACAAAAACAUCUCAAAAAACUUUGAAAAUGAAGAACGAUAUGGAAAAUCUAGCAUUAAUGCCAGAUAUUAAUAGGGAAUUUAGAGCCACGAUAAAUAAGUAGGGUGAUACUGGAUUGUAAAUGGACAGAAAACCCAAUGGAAUGGAGUAGAAAAUCCAGAAAGAGAUAUAACUGUGAGAAUUUAGUUUCUGAUAGAGAUGGCUUCUCAAACUGAUUGGGAAACUAUAGACUACCCAAUAUAUGCUACCAGAAAUGAGUUGGUAGCCAUCUGGUAAAACACAUACCCACACAAAUAAUCAUAAAGUUGAAUCUGUACUUCAUACUUUAAGUACAUACUUGACCCAUAUCAAAUGGAUCAAUAAAUAAAUGUAAAAAAUUAAACCAAAACUGAUUUAGAAGGAAAUAGAAAGGAAUAAUUACUUUACAUCUGUGGCAUAAGGAAGGACUUCUAACUAUGACUCAAAAUUCACAAGCCAUAAAAGAAAAAAAAUGUUAUAUUUAACUGCAUUAUAAAACAAACACAUUCUGCAUGAUAAGAAACAUUAUGUCUUGGUCCAUUUUGUGUUGCUAUCACAGAAUACCACAGACUGGGUAAUGUAUAGUGAAUAGGAAUUUAUUGGCUUAUGGUUCUGGAGGCUGGAAAGUCCAACAUUAAGGUGCCAGCAUCUUGAGAGGGUCUUCUUGUUGUGUCAUGACAUGGCAAAAGGCCAAGAGAGGGAGGAGAGAGAAAGAGAAAGGAGAUUAAACUGCUCCCUUUUAUAAUGAACCCACUCCCUUGACAACAGCACUAUCUGAUUCUCUCUGUCCUCGUGACCUAAUCCCUUCUCAUGAGGCCCCACCUCCCAGUGCUUUUGCAUUAGGGAUUAAGUUUCCAACAUAUGCUUUUUGACGGACACAUUCAAACAACAGCACAUCAUAAUCAAAAUUGAAAGUUAAAUGACAAGCUGAGGAAAAAAUAUUUUCAGUUCAUAGCACAAAGAGAGAUUUUUCCUUUAAUUUACAAUAAAAACCUGCAAGAGAUACUAAUUGACGGCUCACAAGAAAGGAAAUACAAACAGCACACACUUGUGAAAAGGUGCUCAUAAAACUAUACCAAUGUGAGCUUUUCAGGAACCAAAUAGGCAAACUAUAAAGUUUGAGAAACACAGUCGAUUACUAAGGCUUUGGGGGAACUCUUAGGCAUUGUUGAGUGAGUAAGUUGAUAUAACUUCUAAGGAGGCAAUUUGACAUUUAUCAAAACUGCAAAAUCAUAUACUCCUUGACCCAGCAGUCUGUAUUAUAUAUAUCACAUAUAAUUGCACAUGUGGAAAGUGGCAUGCACAAGGUUCUUUACUGCAGUAUCAUUUCUAAUGUCAAAAACAACGAAAAUCUAAACUAUAGCAGACUGAUUGAACAAAUCAGGAGUUAAGCAGACAAUGAAAUAUAAGGCAUCUGCAAAAAGAAUGUAUAUAUAAAAACUGGAGAAAAAUAGUAUUACAUAAUUUUAUUUGUGUAUAUAUUCUAAAGAAACUCUGAAAGGAUAUGUAAGAAACUAAGGAUAGUGGUUACUGUAUGAGGAAGAUGGGGAACUGGGAAGAUGGGGCAUGCAUUAAUUUGCUAAGGUUGUACAUUAGGGAUUAGUCAUGCUUCUCCAAAGAAACAGAGCCAACAGUGUGUGUGUGUACACACACACAUUUAUACACUUAUAUGUGUAUGUGUGUGUGUAUACAUGUAUAUAUGAUUUAUUCUAAGCAAGUGACUUACAUGAUUAUGAAGGAUGGAAAGUCCCUAAAUCUGCUGGGUGAAUUGGCAAGCUAGAGACCCAGGAGAGCUGAUUGUAUAACACCAGUUUAGGUCAAAAGGCCUGAGAUCCAGGAGGGCCAAAGGUGGAUUUCCCAUCUGAAGGCUGGCAGGCUGGAGACCCAGGAAGAAAUGAUGUUUCAGUUGAGUCCUAAGGUAUGAAAAAGCCAAUGUUUCAGUUUGAAAGCUGUCAGGCAGGAAGAAUUCUCUUACUUGCAGAAGGCAUAGCUUUUUCGUUCUAUUCAGGCCUCAUUAGGUGAGGCUCAUCUACAUUAAGGAGUGGGAUCUGAUUUAUUCAGUCUACUUAUUUAAAUGUUAAAUGUUAAUUUCACCAAAAAUGUUAUUAUAGAAACACCCAUGAUGGUAUUUGAGCAAAUAUCUGGGCACUCUGUGGCCCAGUCAAGUUGACACAUAAAAUUAAACAUCACAGGCUACCAUAACAAAAUAGCACUGACUAAGUGGCUUAAGCAACAGAAAUUUAUUUUCUCAUAGAUCUGGAGGCCAACUCUACUAUCAAAGUGACAGCAGAGUUGAUUUCUUCUGGGGCCCCUCUCUUUAGCUUGCACACAGCCACGUUUUUGUGCAUCCUCAUAUGGCCUUUCCUCCUGGCUCUUCAUCUUGUUUUAAGGACACUAAUGUUGGAUUGGGGCCCCACUCUUAUGAUCUAAUUUAAUCUCAUUACCUCCUCAAAAGUCCUAUCUCCACAUGCAGUCACAUUGGGGGUUAGGGGUUAGAAUUUAUUCCAACACAUGAACUCUGUGGGAAACACAGUUCAGUCCAUAGUAGGGCAUAAGGGUGGGAGAGAGACUGUCAUUGUUCAGCUUUUUGUACCUUCUUGGUUUUAAGCUUCCUGAAGGCAUUAUGUAUUUUAAAAGAUCUUAAAAAUAAACUCCAAGUUUCUGCUUCCAGCAGCUUGGAGGAUGGUGUCAUUCACUGGGAUGGAGAAGACUGAGGAAAAAAAUGUUUGAUAAGGCGGGAAUAGGGCGGAGAUAUUGGACAGACACUGUAGUGGAAUGUCAGUGAGGCAGUUGGUGUCCAGGAGAGGAGUCUAGGUUGGAGCGUGGAAAGACAAUCUCCCCAUGUGCAAGUUCUAGACGAGCAAGGACCUUAUCUGGAUCACUGGCAUUGUGUUUCCAGUGGCUAGCAUAGCACCCAGCAUAUAGUACCUGCACAGUAAAUAUUUGUGGAAUGAAUGCAGCCACACAAAAGAAAAAGAAAUAAAAUCAUGAAUGAAUUCUGUAUAAUGUUGAAUGGAAGAAAUCAGACAGAAAAAUACAUACUACAUUUUCCCUUUAUGUGAUGUUAUAAAACAGAUAUAAUUAAUUGAUAGUGAUAGAAAGUGGUUACUUUUGGGGGGUAGUGUUUGGGUGGGAAUAAUGAAGGCUAAUGGGAUGCUGGUCAUGUUCUGUUACUUGAUUGGAGUGGUGGUUGCAUGUAUGUGUUCACUUUGUGAAAAGUCAUGAAGCUAUACAAUUUUGAUUUGUGUACUUUCCAUGUUAUUUUUAAGGCUUAUGUAACAUAAAUCAAUAUUUUCUAGAAAAAAUAAUCAUUGUCAAAUAAAGGCAAGUAACUG
Molecule: long non-coding RNA, 3382 nt
Organism: Sapajus apella (tufted capuchin)
Lineage: Eukaryota; Metazoa; Chordata; Mammalia; Primates; Cebidae
Exons: 2
Source: RefSeq, a predicted model, not a curated record